AGAUUGAACGCUGGCGGCAGGCCUAACACAUGCAAGUCGAGCGGUAGAGAGGUGCUUGCACCUCUUGAGAGCGGCGGACGGGUGAGUAAUGCCUAGGAAUCUGCCUAGUGGUGGGGGAUAACGUUCGGAAACGGACGCUAAUACCGCAUACGUCCUACGGGAGAAAGCGGGGGACCUUCGGGCCUCGCGCCAUUAGAUGAGCCUAGGUCGGAUUAGCUAGUUGGUGAGGUAAUGGCUCACCGAAGGCGACGAUCCGUAACUGGUCCUGAGAGGAUGAUCAGUCCACACGUGGAACUGACGACACGGUCCAGACCUCCGUACGGGAGCAGCGAGGUGGGAAUGUUGGAACAAGUGGGACGAAAGCCUAGACU
This 371-nucleotide ribosomal RNA is filed under the name uncultured soil bacterium. RNAcentral's name for it is "bacterial SSU rRNA". It matches the Rfam family "Bacterial small subunit ribosomal RNA", at positions 26 to 388 of the family's 1533-position model. The record is from RNAcentral.